GCUUAGCAUAUAUUAUUGAUGUUGCAGUUAAAACGUUCGUAGUCGAUUUUUAUCUGUCAAUGUAUGUAAAUUCUUCGAAUUUAUCAUACUGUCGAUAGAUAAAGUAUAACUUACAUCAACAUAUAUUCAUAUGUUGUUGUAUGUUAUACCUUACUUUGAGUGAAUCGGCGUGUUUCACGCAGGCGUUUGCCUUGAACGAUUUACCAUAGUAUGAAUAUAUUAUAACAAUAUUCUUAUGUUUGUUCGGGAAUAUAGUUUAUAAUAAUAGGAACGGUUGAGGGCAUUCAUAUUCAACUGCCAGAGGUGAAAUUCUUUGAUUAGUGGAGGAUGAACAAUGGCGAAAGCAUUUGUCAAGGACGUUCCCGUUGA
Molecule: ribosomal RNA, 369 nt
Filed under: uncultured eukaryote
Lineage: Eukaryota
Description: partial 18S ribosomal RNA
Rfam family: Eukaryotic small subunit ribosomal RNA
Source: RNAcentral